Molecule: long non-coding RNA, 1637 nt
Filed under: Nicotiana tabacum (common tobacco)
Lineage: Eukaryota; Viridiplantae; Streptophyta; Magnoliopsida; Solanales; Solanaceae
Description: long non-coding RNA (NTAB_LNC014954)
Source: RNAcentral
CUACUUUCAAGAAAGAAAGAUAACAAAGUUUCUCUUUUCUCAAGCUUGUUCACCGCAAGUCUGCAACUGCUUGGGUUAUCUUGAGAGUUUGAUUUCACGAGAAUUUUAAAAUAAAAUGUGGCAGAUUGACUCUCAUUCGGAGGUACCCAUAUACUCUUCUCAGGUAAAAAUUAUUUAUCUACUAUCAAUUGAGAUAUGGGUAGGAUUUUGAGAUUUGGAUUUUUUUUUAAAAGAAAAUAAAUAAAAGGAUUUUAAAUGCUUGGGCUAUAUUCAAUAAUGUUAUUACAAUAUACUAAGAGCCUUGGAUGUAUUUACUAUGAAUUUAUUAUUGAAAUCAUGAUUAUCCAUUACUGGGCAGUGAUGAAGUUUGGAAGGAAAAAAAAAAUAGAAAACUUCGUAGUUAUAGCUUGUUUUAAUGAGUUGUGGGAUUAAACGUUACAAAUCAAUUUAUUGAGUUAUUACGGACUAAUUAGUGUUUUAGAACCUAAGUGGGAUUUUCCUAGAACAAGAGAACUGUGUAUAUAGUUGUAUUCUUUGGACAUGUAUUAAUUUAAGUUGAACCCAAUUAUCAUGUAGUUAGAGAAAUUGGUGACUUGUGAUUGCCUGAAAAAUACGUGUAGGCAAAGUUGAGCUUGUAAUUGAGGUAAGUUGAGGUUUACUUUUCUAGUAAAAAAUUCCAUUAGAAUCCUUGUGCUCCAUAUGCUAGAUAAAGCUAAGUCAUGUCUUCUCGUGAUCUAAUACUCAGUUCACUUUAUUCUUAUUCAGUACGACCUUAUAUGUGAUAUGAAUGCAUGCUUAUGUAUAUUACCAGUUGUUAUGUGCCUUUAUUUGUGAUAUUCACAUUCAGUUAAGUAUUUAAUUUCAACAUUAAUUCAUGCAUCAAUGUGAUCACAUUCAGUAGGGAGAGUGGCCAACCUCCCCCAGCGUAAGUGCCAUGAUGUCAAGGUUAUCUACCCCACGCUCGUAGGUGCCAACUGUUUGUUGGGGAGAUAGGCCGACACUCCCCCGUACGUGUUCCCAGAUGCUCACGUAUGCAGGGCCAUUAUGCGUAACAAUUAACUUUGCGAAGUUACGUCUUAAAAUAUAUAUAUAUAAGUCAGUUUCUAUUUCAGAUAUUAAUUAUGGGCUCAAUUUCUAUGUUAAGUUUCAGUUUCAACUUACAGUUUAGCUUACAGUUUUAGUUUCCAGCUUAUUACUUGGUUGUAAAAUUUUAUAUGAUUUAUAUGAUUUUCCGUAUAUCCCUUUUCUUUCUUAUUAUUUUCAGAAGGUCUCGCUCCGCUUUUUAGGAGGUAGCAUGUGAGACUUACUAGGUAUUCUUUGGUGGUUACUUAGCCCGUUUGGGCCUGCUACAUCGUGUGGCAGGUAUUGAGGACGCGGGUAACGAGGCACGUGGCUAGAGGAGAUAUUCUAGAUUCAGUUUACAAACUUCGUUGAUUCAUCCCAGCGGUAGCGGACCCUUUUCAGACUAUUAUUUAUAAACUUUCUUUUUACGUUUAUUUUAUUUCCGGGGGAUGCCUCCGUAGGCUAUUUAUUUCAAAUUUUAUUUUCAAAUUCUAGAGGCUCAUGACUUGUUAGUGGGUCAGUAUUAAAAUAUUUUGGGAUUUAUCCUUUAUUUAUUAUAUUUUAUCAGUCUGCUU